This 183-nucleotide ribosomal RNA is filed under the name uncultured eukaryote. RNAcentral describes it as "partial 18S ribosomal RNA". It matches the Rfam family "Eukaryotic small subunit ribosomal RNA", at positions 1299 to 1458 of the family's 1831-position model. The record is from RNAcentral.
UGGUGGAGUGAUUUGUCUGGUUAAUUCCGAUAACGAACGAGACUCUCACUUGCUAACUAACAAAACGUACGGUGUGUGUGAUGUUGUGGGCCUCGGCUCCUUUCACACAUAUCAGCGAUUGUCUUCUUAGAGGGAUUUACAGCAGCCAAACACAGCCGAAUCGAGAAACCGAGAGCAAUAACA